Selaginella moellendorffii is the source of this 1627-nucleotide RNA transcript. It is a transcript of the gene named isobutyryl-CoA dehydrogenase, mitochondrial, with no coding region annotated. NCBI's taxonomy places the organism in Eukaryota, Viridiplantae, Streptophyta, Lycopodiopsida, Selaginellales, Selaginellaceae. The record is from RefSeq and is a predicted model, not a curated record. The transcript has 14 exons.
CGUUCUCAUCUAAAUGGCGCUGGCGACAAGGUCGAGCUUCCGGACGCUAAAGGCGAUUCGUGGCGCACAUUCGUUCUGCAAGCACGCCACCUCUUCUGGCAGCAGCUCGGAUCGUGUCUCGAGUUUGUGGGACGAGCAUCGCCUUACGGCCGAUCAGCUGCAUUUUCGUGCGCUUGCUACUGAUUUUGCCAAGAAGGAGCUCCUUCCCAAUGGCGCGCAGUGGGAUUGCGACAAAUAUUUUCCAGUGGAGGUUUUGCGAAAGGCUGCCGGUCUGGGAUUCGGAGGAAUGUUUUGUGCUGAAGACGUUGGUGGCUCUCGGCUUAAUCGAGUGGAUGGAGCAGUGAUUUUUGAGGCGCUGGCAUAUGGUGAUGUUAUCUUCGUAGCUUUUCCAAUGUUUCUUUCGAUUUGUUCUUUGAUUUUUUCCAACUCUGUGGUUUGUAGGUAUGGAAAUGAUCAACAGAGAAACCACUGGCUUCCAAAACUUAUUCAGAUGGAAUUCUUUUCAUCGUACUGCUUAACGGAACCUUCAAGCGGGAGUGAUGCCGCAUCCUUACAGACUACAGCAAGACAAGCACACGGCAGCAGCGACUACAUUCUGAAUGGAUCAAAGGCCUUCAUUAGUGGAGGAAGCGUUAGCGACUUGUACUUGGUGAUGGCUCGAACAGGAGCGCUGGGCCCAAAAGGGAUCUCUUGCUUUCUCUUAGAGAAGGGGAUGCCUGGACUUUCGUUUGGACGGCCCGAAGAUAAGCUUGGAUGGCGAUCUCAGCCUACCACUUCCGUGGUCAUGGAAGAGGUGCGUGUGCCUUCCGCCAAUAUGCUUGGACGAGAGGGACAGGGAUUUGCCAUCGCAAUGGCGGGCCUUGAUGGAGGUCGCAUAAAUAUCGCAUCAUGCAGUUGCGGGGGAGCACAGUUCUGCCUUGAUACUGCUCAGGAAUAUGCGUCUACUCGCAAACAAUUUGGAAAAGCCAUCACAGAGUUUCAAAGUACUCAAUUCAAACUAGCGGAUAUGCAGACUGCUCUGCAUGCGUCACGCUUAAUGGUAUCAAAUGCUGCCGCUGCCUUGGAUGCUGGAUCUCCGAAAGCCUCUGCUUGCGCUGCAAUGGCGAAAAGGUUCGCUACUGAUGCUUGCUUUAACAUUGCGAAUGAUGCAUUGCAACUUCAUGGGGGAUAUGGCUACUUAAAAGACUACCCGGUUGAAAGGUAUCUUAGGGACCUGCGAGUCCAUACCAUACUCGAAGGGACGAACGAGAUCAUGAGGGUCGUGCUCUUUCGACACAUGCUACAGCAGCCGUAAGGGCGUACCAUGUGUGUGAUCCAUGUGUCCUUUCGAGGAGGGAAGCCCUUACGGCAGCCCGUGCGGUGUAAAAAUGUGAUCGACAUUACAAAGUUUUUUGUGAUAGUAGGACAGGCCAUACAUGUUCCAAAACCGUGAUAUCCCGGUCCACCGUGGGACGUAAGUCUCCGCUGCUGUAGCUUCGGAACUGUGGAGAUCCCACCAUUAGCUAGAAGCCUUUAGUAUUAACUUGGUGUUAUUGACUUGGUGUUGUUUGGGAUCGCUAUUGAGAUUUUAUCAUUUUGAUUUGGAUGUUUAGAUUAAUUAAAAUAAUGAAAUUAUAUCUGAUGAUCU